GACUUGAUUAGAUUGAGCCUUGGUAUGGAAACCUGCUAAGUGGUAACUUCCAAAUUCAGAGAAACCCUGGAAUUAAAAAUGGGCAAUCCUGAGCCAAAUCUUUAUGUUAAGAAAACAAAGGAUAGGUGCAGAGACUCAAUGGAAGCUGUUCUAACAAAUGGAAUUGACGUUGACUACGUUGCGUUGGUAGCUGGAAUCCCUCUAUCGAAAUUACAGAAAGGAUGACCCUAUAUGCGUAUAUAUACAUACUGACAUAUCAAACGAUUAAUCACAACUCGAAUUCGGAAUCCAUAUUAUUAACUAUAACUAUAUAUUAUAGUUAUUAUUAUAUAUAUUUUGUUUAUAUAAAAAAAAAGAUAUAUUUUUUGAUAAAUUUAUAGAUUAAUUAAGAGUUAUUAUAAAUAUAUUCCAGUCGAAGUUGAAGGAAGAAUCGAAUAUCCAGUAUUCAGUGAUCAAAUCAUUCAUUCCGGAGUCGGAUAGAUCUUUUGAAAAAAUGAUUAAUCGGACGAGAAUAAAGAGAGAGUCCUGUUCUACGUGUCAAUACCGACAGCAAUGAAAUUUAUAGUAUUAGGAAAAUCCGUCGACUUUAGAAAUCGUGA
This 599-nucleotide non-coding RNA is filed under the name Colchicum striatum. RNAcentral describes it as "Androcymbium striatum partial transfer RNA-Leu". The stretch from base 1 to 251 matches the Rfam family "Group I catalytic intron". Lineage: Eukaryota; Viridiplantae; Streptophyta; Magnoliopsida; Liliales; Colchicaceae. The record is from RNAcentral.